UACGAAGGGGGCUAGCGUUGCUCGGAAUUACUGGGCGUAAAGGGCGCGUAGGCGGACAGUUUAGUCAGUGGUGAAAGCCCAGGGCUCAACCUUGGAAUUGCCAUUGAUACCGAUUGUCUUGAGUAUGGGAGAGGUGUGCGGAACUCCGAGUGUAGAGGUGAAAUUCGUAGAUAUUCGGAAGAACACCAGUGGCGAAGGCGGCACACUGGCCCAUUACUGACGCUGAGGCUCGAAAGCGUGGGGAGCAAACAGG
This 253-nucleotide ribosomal RNA is filed under the name uncultured bacterium. Its description in RNAcentral is "partial 16S ribosomal RNA". It matches the Rfam family "Bacterial small subunit ribosomal RNA", at positions 524 to 776 of the family's 1533-position model. The record is from RNAcentral.